This 289-nucleotide ribosomal RNA is filed under the name uncultured bacterium. RNAcentral's name for it is "partial 16S ribosomal RNA". It matches the Rfam family "Bacterial small subunit ribosomal RNA", at positions 773 to 1060 of the family's 1533-position model. The record is from RNAcentral.
GUGGAUUAGAUACCCUGGUAGUCCACGCUGUAAACGAUGUCAACUAGCCGUUGGGGGUCUUCGUGCCCUCGGUGGCGUAGCUAACGCGCUAAGUUGACCGCCUGGGGAGUACGGUCGCAAGAUUAAAACUCAAAUGAAUUGACGGGGGCCCGCACAAGCGGUGGAGCAUGUGGUUUAAUUCGACGCAACGCGAAGAACCUUACCAGGUCUUGACAUCCAGAGAACUUUCCAGAGAUGGAUUGGUGCCUUCGGGAACUCUGAGACAGGUGCUGCACGGUCGUCGUCAGCU